UACGUAGGGUGCAAGCGUUAAUCGGAAUUACUGGGCGUAAAGCGUGCGCAGGCGGUUUUGCAAUUCAGAGGUGAAAUCCCCGGGCUUAACCUGGGAAUGGCCUUUGUGACUGCACGGCUAGAGUGUGUCAGAGGGGGGUAGAAUUCCACGUGUAGCAGUGAAAUGCGUAGAGAUGUGGAGGAACACCGAUGGCGAAGGCAGCCCCCUGGGUCAAGACUGACGCUCAUGCACGAAAGCGUGGGGAGCAAACAGG
RNAcentral lists this ribosomal RNA (253 nucleotides) under uncultured bacterium. RNAcentral's name for it is "partial 16S ribosomal RNA". It matches the Rfam family "Bacterial small subunit ribosomal RNA", at positions 524 to 776 of the family's 1533-position model. The record is from RNAcentral.